Molecule: ribosomal RNA, 471 nt
Filed under: uncultured bacterium
Lineage: Bacteria
Description: bacterial SSU rRNA
Rfam family: Bacterial small subunit ribosomal RNA
Source: RNAcentral
CAUGCCUUACACAUGCAAGUCGAACGGCAGCACGGGAGCAAUCCUGGUGGCGAGUGGCGAACGGGUGAGUAAUAUAUCGGAACGUGCCCAGUCGUGGGGGAUAACGUAGCGAAAGCUACGCUAAUACCGCAUACGAUCUAUGGGAUGAAAGCGGGGGGAUCGCAAGACCUCGCGCGAUUGGAGCGGCCGAUAUCAGAUUAGGUAGUUGGUGAGGUAAAGGCUCACCAAGCCGACGAUCUGUAGCUGGUCUGAGAGGACGACCAGCCACACUGGGACUGAGACACGGCCCAGACUCCUACGGGAGGCAGCAGUGGGGAAUUUUGGACGAUGGGCGCAAGCCUGAUCCAGCAAUGCCGCGUGCAGGAUGAAGGCCUUCGGGUUGUAAACUGCUUUUGUACGGAACGAAACGGUGAGCUCUAAUACAGUUUGCUAAUGACGGUACCGUAAGAAUAAGCACCGGCUAACUACGUG